CCUAUGCUUCCGCCAGCGGUCCCCUCUUUGGGGCCCAGCGCUCCAGUGGUCGUCAGGGGUUUGCGCCCCUGGCGCCAUUGGCGCCCGGACGUGGUGACGCUCUGCGGAGCUGCGUUCGUGGCCCCGGUGAACAUUUGUUCAUCGGAGGGGUGGCCCACCACCUCGAUCCCGUCCCUCGAGGAACGACUCGAUGA
RNAcentral lists this non-coding RNA (194 nucleotides) under Synechococcus sp. WH 7805. RNAcentral's name for it is "psaA RNA". It matches the Rfam family "psaA RNA". The record is from RNAcentral. Lineage: Bacteria; Bacillati; Cyanobacteriota; Cyanophyceae; Synechococcales; Synechococcaceae.